This 502-nucleotide ribosomal RNA is filed under the name uncultured bacterium. RNAcentral describes it as "partial 16S ribosomal RNA". It matches the Rfam family "Bacterial small subunit ribosomal RNA", at positions 30 to 523 of the family's 1533-position model. The record is from RNAcentral.
AUUGAACGCUGGCGGCAGGCUUAACACAUGCAAGUCGAGCGGGGUGAUGGUGCUUGCACUAUCACUUAGCGGCGGACGGGUGAGUAAUGCUUAGGAAUCUGCCUAUUAGUGGGGGACAACAUCUCGAAAGGGAUGCUAAUACCGCAUACGUCCUACGGGAGAAAGCAGGGGAUCACUUGUGACCUUGCGCUAAUAGAUGAGCCUAAGUCGGAUCAGCUAGUUGGUGGGGUAAAGGCCUACCAAGGCGACGAUCUGUAGCGGGUCUGAGAGGAUGAUCCGCCACACUGGGACUGAGACACGGCCCAGACUCCUACGGGAGGCAGCAGUGGGAAUAUUGGACAAUGGGGGGAACCCUGAUCCAGCCAUGCCGCGUGUGUGAAGAAGGCCUUAUGGUUGUAAAGCACUUUAAGCGAGGAGGAGGCUCUUUUGGUUAAUACCCAAGAUGAGUGGACGUUACUCGCAGAAUAAGCACCGGCUAACUCUGUGCCAGCAGCCGCCGUAA